This 253-nucleotide ribosomal RNA is filed under the name uncultured bacterium. RNAcentral's name for it is "partial 16S ribosomal RNA". It matches the Rfam family "Bacterial small subunit ribosomal RNA", at positions 524 to 776 of the family's 1533-position model. The record is from RNAcentral.
UACGUAGGGGGCAAGCGUUGUCCGGAUUCAUUGGGCGUAAAGCGCGUGUAGGCGGCCAGGUAGGUCCGACGUGAAAACUGGAGGCUCAACCUCCAGCUGUCGUUGGAAACCAUCUGGCUAGAGUCCGGAAGAGGAGAGUGGAAUUCCUGGUGUAGCGGUGAAAUGCGCAGAUAUCAGGAAGAACACCAAUGGCGAAGGCAGCUCUCUGGGACGGUACUGACGCUGAGACGCGAAAGCGUGGGGAGCGAGCAGG